Brachypodium distachyon (stiff brome) is the source of this 1620-nucleotide RNA transcript. It is a transcript of the gene named BTB/POZ and MATH domain-containing protein 1, with no coding region annotated. The transcript has 3 exons. Lineage: Eukaryota; Viridiplantae; Streptophyta; Magnoliopsida; Poales; Poaceae. The record is from RefSeq and is a predicted model, not a curated record.
GGCGACACAAUCCCUAAUCCCUAGGAGAGUAGCAGCGAGCAAGUCUCGGGCGGCGGCAGGGCAGCGAGGAAGCGGACUCCCGGAGGACAGCGGCCGGCGGAGCCUCGACACCGAUCUCCAUCACCACCAGCAGGCCAACCGCCGCCGGCAUGAGCAAGGGAGCCAAGGCGACGGGGCCGGGGCCGGAGGCGCGGACCACCGUGGUGAGUUCCGCCGCCGUCCAGUUCAGCGUGGAUUACGAGCAAGCCAAGCAGCUUCCCAUCGGCAAGGCCGUCUACUCGGAAGUCGUCUCCACCGGGGCACACCUCUGGAGGAUUGAGUGCUUCCCCCGUGCGGACGAUUUGAAGGACGAGGAGGAGUACCUUUCUGUCUGUAUCACCCACAUGAGCAAAAUGAGCCGAAGCAUGAGGGCCAUCUUGGAGGUCUACCUCAUGGACAGGAACGGCAUACCAUCUAGAACGGAAACUGAAAGGACACUUAAAACCUUCCGAGCCAAGGGCGGCUCCAUCGGAUGCUCAUCAUUCAUCAAGGGAACUACUGUGGAGAAAGACUACCUACUAGAGGGACACAUCACAUUCGUAUGUGCCAUCAUUAUCAUACGCGACGGCUGUAUUCCCGUGCCACCUUCAGACAUUGGGGUCCAUCUUGGUAGCUUGCUAGAUCACACGGACGGGACGGAUGUGGCAUUCAUCGUCGAUGGCGAGACAUUCCAUGCUCACCGUGCGGUGCUUGCUGCCCGCUCGCCGGUCUUCAGAGCGGAGCUCUUUGGCUCCAUGGCUGAGGCUACAAUGUCUUCCAUCGAGCGGCACGACAUCAUGCCCGCUACAUUCAAAGCUAUGCUUCACUUCAUCUACACGGACGCCUUACCUGGAGACGACGAGCUGGGGUGCUCUCCUGUCGAGGUGCUUCAGGAUCUACUUGCCGCGGCAGACCGAUAUGCACUAGACAGGUUGAAGCUGAUCUGUGCCCAGAAGCUAUUGGAGCAUUUGUCUGUUGAUACAGUUGCAACUACGUUAGCUUGCGCUGAGACAUACAACUGUCCGGAGCUGAAGAACAAGUGCUUUGACUUCUUCGCGGUGGAGAAAAAUUUCAAGAAGGCCGUGUUCACUGCUGGCUUUGCGAUGUUGUUGCAGAAAUUCCCAUCAAUUACUGAUGAGCUGAAAAGCAAGGUCGAGACAUAACAUAUACAUCCAGAUGUCAACAGUUCAGGCAUUAGCUUUAAUAUGGUGUUUUGAAGAAUUUGAAUCUUCUCCUUAUGUAGUAUCGCGCUAAGUUGCUGCCAAGCAAUACUUGAUAAGUGAGCAGAAGUGGAUUUUCAGAUAGCACAGAAGCAAAGCUAAGGAGAAUUUGCUAACUAUACUGGUGCAUUUGUGGUUUUGGCUCUCUGUUCUCUUGGGCAUGUCAUGUCCUGAACCUUGGCUUAUGCUUGAUGCUUUUGCUACACCGUUGUAACUAUUAAGAUAUUUAGUAUCUAGCUAUCUAGACCUGGGUUCAUGAGUACUAUGUGAUCAAUGCAAGCAUGUCGCAACUGAGAACACCUGAGUACUGAUGUUGUCAUACCAAAAUUAUGGGGUAUUGCUGUUUUCGUAGUUCAGUCUGAACUAUCUUAUACUGCCAUCA